This is a small nucleolar RNA of Andrographis paniculata, 119 nucleotides long. RefSeq annotates it as small nucleolar RNA R24. The record is from RefSeq and is a predicted model, not a curated record. NCBI's taxonomy places the organism in Eukaryota, Viridiplantae, Streptophyta, Magnoliopsida, Lamiales, Acanthaceae. The transcript has a single exon.
UUGACAUUGAUGAAGAGCUAACAUGUAAGAAGGGAUCAAGAACACAAUGCAAUGAUAGCUUGUGUUUGGUUCUUGAUUCUUCAAUGAAAUUUCUUUGUUACGCUUGGCUUCUGAGUCUG